CUCCUUUGACGUUAGCGGCGGACGGGUGAGUAACACGUGGGUAACCUACCUAUAAGACUGGGAUAACUUCGGGAAACCGGAGCUAAUACCGGAUAAUAUUUCGAACCGCAUGGUUCGAUAGUGAAAGGUUGUUUUGCUAUCACUUAUAGAUGGACCCGCGCCGUAUUAGCUAGUUGGUAAGGUAACGGCUUACCAAGGCGACGAUACGUAGCCGACCUGAGAGGGUGAUCGGCCACACUGGAACUGAGACGCGGUCCAGACUCCUACGGGAGGCAGCAGUC
This 281-nucleotide ribosomal RNA is filed under the name uncultured Staphylococcus sp. Its description in RNAcentral is "partial 16S ribosomal RNA". It matches the Rfam family "Bacterial small subunit ribosomal RNA", at positions 81 to 355 of the family's 1533-position model. Lineage: Bacteria; Bacillati; Bacillota; Bacilli; Caryophanales; Staphylococcaceae. The record is from RNAcentral.